This 456-nucleotide non-coding RNA is filed under the name Pan troglodytes (chimpanzee). The record is from RNAcentral. Lineage: Eukaryota; Metazoa; Chordata; Mammalia; Primates; Hominidae.
AGUCCCAGGGUGAAGGGAGGCAGCUUCAGUCCUGGGGCCAACAGCACAUCUGAGGAAAUCAGGGCCCCUGGAACACAGCCUGCGGGACUUGGGGCACAUCUGCUGCCCAAUCCAGAGCUUGAAUGCUCCUGGUGAGAAAGGAUAACAAACAGCACUUCCCCGUGGCAGAUGCUUCACAGUCCAAGACUCGGGGCCUUGAAUGAUCCAGGAAGGCCACUGAGAUUUCCACUUUAUCUACUGUUUCUUGUGCACGUACUUACCAUAAACCAAAACAGCCUCUGUGUUAUCAUCCUUCAAUGUUCAACACAUCGCAUCGGAGUCGCCCUUUCCCUACAGAAUAUAAGCUCUGGGUCUGGGGGCUAAUAGUGUGGGGAUCCACCAUCUUGUCUUGCCACCACCUGAGACACAGAUGUGGCUUCUAUUCGUAUGUCCCUAUUAAAUGUUUUUCUCUGAGAA